RNAcentral lists this ribosomal RNA (253 nucleotides) under uncultured bacterium. RNAcentral describes it as "partial 16S ribosomal RNA". It matches the Rfam family "Bacterial small subunit ribosomal RNA", at positions 524 to 776 of the family's 1533-position model. The record is from RNAcentral.
CACGUAGGGGGCAAGCGUUGUCCGGAUUUAUUGGGCGUAAAGAGCUCGUAGGCGGUUUGUCGCGUCUGCUGUGAAAACCUAAGGCUCAACCUUGGGCUUGCAGUGGGUACGGGCAGACUAGAGUGCGGUAGGGGUGACUGGAAUUCCUGGUGUAGCGGUGGAAUGCGCAGAUAUCAGGAGGAACACCGAUGGCGAAGGCAGGUCACUGGGCCGCAACUGACGCUGAGGAGCGAAAGCAUGGGGAGCGAACAGG